RNAcentral lists this ribosomal RNA (484 nucleotides) under uncultured bacterium. RNAcentral's name for it is "partial 16S ribosomal RNA". It matches the Rfam family "Bacterial small subunit ribosomal RNA", at positions 29 to 523 of the family's 1533-position model. The record is from RNAcentral.
AGUGAACGCUGGCGGCGUGCUUUACACAUGCAAGUCGAACGAGAACGGGUUAUAGCUUGCUAUAAUUGUCAGCUAAGUGGCGCACGGGUGAGUAAUGUAUAGGUAAUAUGCCUCUUACUAAGGGAUAACAAAUGGAAACGUUUGCUAAUACCUUAUACUCCUUAUUAACAUAAGUUAAUAAGGGAAAGAUUUAUUGGUAAGAGAUUAGCCUGUAUUGUAUCAGUUAGUUGGUGGGGUAAUAGCUUACCAAGACUAUGACACAUAACUGGUUUGAGAGGAUGAUCAGUCACACUGGAACUGAGACACGGUCCAGACUCCUACGGGAGGCAGCAGUGGGGAAUAUUGCACAAUGGACGAAAGUCUGAUGCAGCAACGCCGCGUGGAGGAUGACACAUUUCGGUGCGUAAACUCCUUUUAUAUGAGAAGAUAAUGACGGUAUUAUAUGAAUAAGCACCGGCUAACUCCGUGCCAGCAGCCGCCGUAA